UAGCUCUCAAAUCCACCGCCGACUCCUCUUCCCCGAGCCCUCACGCGACGCCGCCCUCUCCUCCUCACGCCGAACCCUUUUCUCCCCAAAUCCACAACCGACUGCCUUCUUCCCUCUCCCUCUCGCGAGUUCCCACACCACAGCAGCCGGCGAUCUUCUCCUCCUCCUCAUGCGAGCACCACAACCGCCGACUCUCCCCCUCACACGAGCACCACAACCGCCGACCUCGCUCUCUCGCACGAGCACCACAGACGCCUCCGACCUCUCCUCCUCAUGCGAGCACCAGAGACGUCGAACCACCGCCAGUACAACGAGCUAGUGGCCAACGUGACGCCUCUCCAUCACAUUCUGUCGUUCCCUAAUACUGAGUUCCCUGGCAAUUUUCCUCCUUCGUCAGUCACCAGGUUUCAUUGAGGUGGGUUCCAGCCGGAGAGGAAGCUGUGGAUGUCGAAAUUGGGUAAGGCAUUUACAGUUUUGGGAUGUUAGAUCUGUAGAUCGAGGUUUUGAGUUUCGAUUUGGAUUACAUGUUCUUGAAUGUAGCUUCAUAGUAAACUCGACUGUAGAUUUUCAGCAGCAGGCAUCACCAGCGAGCAAUUUUCCAGCAAUUGCACUUCCUGGCAGUGGGUCAGCAAAGAUGAAUUCAUUGUAGGGUUCAAGAUAACAUCAACCUAUUCUAUUGCACCAGAGAAAACAUAACCAUCAUUUUAACUAGUAUGAGUGUCGACCCGGGCAUUAUGAGUCAGAUGCCUUCAUUGCCUGUGUUAAUCGAUGAUCAUCUUUUCCAGUCUAUUCUUCCCCUUGCUAACCAGGUGCAUUUACCUGCAAAUACUUCUCUAAAGGAAGAGCCGAGAUACUGGUAAAUCUUUUUCGCUUGGAGGGUGGCGAUUCGAUAUCUGUAACUGAAGUUGGCUUCCACAUAGCAAAUCGAAGCUUCUUCAGAUGGCUGCUAUGUUCUUCAAGGGAGAUCCUACUCGGAACACCGAGGCAAGCGACUGAGCGAGGAAGGCUGAGGAACACCGAGGCGAGGAGCACGGCGUCGCGGGAGAGGAACGCCGAGGAACACCGAGGCGAGCGAGGAAAGCCGAGGAAAGGAACAUGGCGUCACUGGCUAGGAACUCCGAGGAACGGCGUGGAACGCCGAGGCGAGCGAGGAGAGAAGACGUGUCGAUGAGAAAAUCUUGGAUUUAAAAAUAACAAAAAAAAAAACGCGCACGGGAGCGUAUAAGAAGA
Zingiber officinale is the source of this 1230-nucleotide long non-coding RNA. RefSeq lists it as uncharacterized. The record is from RefSeq and is a predicted model, not a curated record. Lineage: Eukaryota; Viridiplantae; Streptophyta; Magnoliopsida; Zingiberales; Zingiberaceae. The transcript has 4 exons.